This 252-nucleotide ribosomal RNA is filed under the name Triticum aestivum (bread wheat). RNAcentral describes it as "partial small subunit ribosomal RNA". Lineage: Eukaryota; Viridiplantae; Streptophyta; Magnoliopsida; Poales; Poaceae. The record is from RNAcentral.
AUGGCCAAAGCCGCCGCGUCCCUUCUCCCCGGUCUUCUCCCGACCCCGCAGAUGAAGCCGUGCCUCAUCAUCCUGCCGGCUUCCUUCGCCUCCAAGCCCAACCCCAUGCCCGGCCGUGCCGACUCCGUUGAGAGGUGGGAAUGGGAUGCGCACAAGAAGGACAAGAAGCCCACUACCCCAGCGGCCCAGCCUCGUCGUGCUGCAGCAGCUCAAGUCCCGGCCGAGCCUCAUCCUGCGAGUGUUGGGACAUAA